GAUGGAGAGGAUUGGCCUGUCAUCCCACCAAUCAGAGUGCGAAAGGAAGUGGAAAUCUACAGCCCUCUUACUCUGCAGCCCUCUGUGAUUGUGUUUCCAUGGCAACCCUAAAAUAAGGUGUACCAGUACAAUAUAUUUAGGUACCAUUAAGAACAAUAUUCUUAUCUGUGUAUGUUGAAGCAUAAUGACCGUUUGAUAUAAUAUAAUCUGAGUUGCCAGGUGGAAGGAGGAAGUGGCUCUGUGAUGUGGGAAGUGUCUGAUAGAGAAAUUGCCACAGUUACAGUAAAAGGGGUGGUCAUAGCAGGAAAGAGGAGGGGCCAGGCUGAAAUUCAGGUUUCAGAUUCCAAAAACAUCCUGCACAAAGUAGUCAGGAAGGGUUAGUAUUUGCACAAACACACACACACACAAACACAGUCUGGUUCACUAUCCUUGUAUAGGGACUCUCCAUACUGUACAAACUGUAUUUUCUAUUGCUUUUUACAACAUUUUUACAAUCAAAAAAAAACUAAUUCUGUAUGAUUUAUAAGCUUCUGUAGCCAUGGGGACCUCAAUUUAGGUCCCCGAAGUGACAAAAGUCCCCAUGAGUUGGUGUAUUUCUUAUAUUUCUUUCACUGUUUGUACAGGUGAUGGUCGUGAGGCCUGCCCGGUUGCAGCUGAUUCCCCAGGGGGGCGUUUGUUGUGUGGGGGACAGGAUAGACAUUCCCUUUGCUCUCUGGGGCAUUCAGGACCCACCAAACACUUGCUCUCAGACAAAUUAUGUCUUUGAUACACAUUUGUACACUCACAGGAGCAUCACUGCAAAUUCUCAGGCAAACUUGUUCUCUGAAACACACCAUCUUCAAUGCGGCGAGUCUCUACUGGAGGAUAGAAAUCUUGUGUUAGUCACAGACUGCUCUCAGCUCUCUCUACACGUCCAAACUGAACCUGCCGGCUUCUUCACACGCAUGCCAGGAUCUCUGUCUCCAGGUGCUGGAUUCUCUUUCACGGGGGCACACUGUUGUUACCAUCACAGUGGAAACAGAGGGAUGCAACAUCAGUGAGACGACAACACUGGUGGCCUACAGCCCUCCCAAAGUAUGCUGUUUCUGUGUGUGUGUGUGUAGGUGUGUCUCUGUGCACAACUGUGUAUGUGUGCACGUAUGAUUUGUGGUAAGUGUCAUGUCUCUAUAAAGGGUGAUUUAUCAGCCCUAUGGUGGCUAUUUAUUAAGAUAAUGAACUGUUCGGGAGUAGCAGAAGAUUAAUGUGUAACUGAGUGCUCCUGAUCACUGAUGUAUGACUCUGUAUGUCAGGGACAUAGAGAGCAGCGGAGCUCUCUGGUCCAGGGCAAAUGCUGCCAAGCACACUCAUGGGAAUUUAACAGGACAAUGUGAUGGAUCAGUGCUUUGCUUUUGUCAGUCAGACACUAAUGAAAGACAGCAACAAGUUUAACAAGGACAUUAUCGUGAGCUUUGUACUCUAUUUAGCCUCUGAGUGACAUUGUUUUCCCCUUCUUUCACUUAGUUUCUUGCGCCUGAGGUUCUUCUCUCAGUGGGCUCCUCUUGUGUGGUUAUAUUCGAGGGUGGGCUUCGUCCCUGGCUCCCGGCUACCUUCCGUUUCUUUAGUGACGUCGAGGUGCAGCCAGAGGGGGGUGUUACCAUGGAGGCUCUGCGUCCGACUGCAGCAAGGCCACCUAAACAUGCGUAUCAGGUCAUGUGCACUGCCGUAGGAGAACAGGUUUGAAAUGUCCUCAACUACAAUGUGACUCAUGUGUCAUAUGUACUGCAUUAUUACACUAAACUCAUGUAGAUGCAUUUAUUAAUAAUAAUAGAUUUUAUUUUCUGUUUUUACCCACAAACAUAUGGGGUAUUUACAGAACCAGAAGAUUAAAAAUGAUCAUUUAAUAAAUAAUAACCAAUAAUAAGUAAUGUUUAAAAUCCCACCUAUAGAGUGUACAUUUUUUAAUUUUUAUUAUUUACAUCUUUUUAUAUUUCAUUAUAUUUAAUAGAUAAGUUUGGGGUCAUUAAUAUUAUUUUUUUAUUUUUUUAUUUUGAGUUGAUCAAAAGUGACAGUUAAAGGGGUCAUAUGAUGUGAUUAAAAUUUUUCCAUUCUCUUUGGAGUGUUACAAGCUCUUGGUGCUUAAAGAAGAUCUGUAAAAUUGCAAAGACUAAAGUCUCUAAUCCAAAAUGUACUUACAGGCUGUGAGUCAGAUGCACCAGACUGUCCUUGCAAAGUUGGAACUCCCCCACUUUAUAGAAACAGCCUUUGUGCCACAGACACAUUGUAGGAUAGUCUGCAGGUUUAGGAGACAGUCCUCAUCCUCCAUAAAAUGCGCAGCACAAAUCUGAAUAUUUGGGUUGAACUGUUCUGGAAACUUAACCACUGAUUUCUAUUUGUGUCCUUUUUUGGAAGGCCAAACACAGUAAUUUCACUUUCAAAAAGAAACACACUGUCUCCAUGACAUGGCGACGGCAACAACAAUACUACAACAAGAAUAAAAGGUAUGCCUUCUUUCUUUGCGUGAACAUCUGGGCAGCAUUAUGCAAAUCUUCCCACAUAGUGACAUAGACAUGUGGGGGCGUGUUUGAACGAGGUGUCUUAGGGGGGCAUGGUUGACUCUUAACCUUUGGAUUUGAGACUUUUGGGAAAAAUGUAAAUUGCAUCAUAUGACCCCUUUAAACAGCAAAAAUAUCUUUAUUUAAAAAAAAUACAGCAUAACUGGUUUCAACACUGAUAUAAAAUAAGAAAUGUUUCUUGAGCUGCAAAUCAUGAUUUAUUAAGGACCGUAUGAAACUGAAGACUGGAUCAAUGGCUGCUUAAAAUUCAGCUUUGUCAUCACAGGAAUUAAUUACAUUUUCAAAUAUAUUAAAAUGGAAAACAGUUGUUUUCCAUCAUAAUCAUAUUUAACAAUAUUAUUAAUUUUACUGUAUUUUUGAUCAAAUAAAUGCAGCGUAGGGGAGCAUAAGAGACUCCUUUCAAAUACAUUUUAAAAAAUCUUACUGACUCCAAACUUUGAAACUUUUAUAUAUGAAAGAAAAGUUUACAAAAGUUACAGACAUGUAUUUUUAAAACAAUUUUUUUUUAAGCCUCCAAAAUCUGGUGGACAUUUUGUGGUUUAAUUAAAAUCUAGUUGAGAUAUAUUUUAUAUAUCAAACAGUGAAGAAUUUGAAAUUUCUCUGCUGCAUAAGCUCUUCAUGAUUUGAGUGGGUGAAGUGCUAUCCUUGCAGUCGUGUAUGUUUUUUUUCAUAUGAGACUGUUCUCUCUUUUUCUUUUUUAGCCCCCCUCCUGCUGUUACAUCCUCUCAUAAACUCUUUUAUGAUUCACUUAUUUUCCUCUUUUCCCUUCACCUGCCCAGACCUCUCUUUUUCUUUUCAUUUUAUCAUUUUCUCGCCCUCCAGGUGUUUCUCUUUCUUUCUGUUUCACCCCUACACCUACACCAGACCUUCGUCUAUCUUUGUCUCUCUUUCCCCUGCUCUCAUUUGCCAUGCAAUUAUGUGUGAUAUGCAGGGUGAAGUGUUAUGGCAGUUUCCAUAGUAACCGCAUACAUGGGCCCUCAGUGUGUGUGUGUGUGUUAGGGUUGUGUGAGGGCUUUUCCUCUCCUGACAUAGAUGCUCUAGAAACCAUGUCUUUGAUCAACGCCAAACCCUCACAAUCUGAAUUCCAUCUGUAAUAUACUAAAACCAUCUGAGAGUGAAACAUUACAUCAUAUCUCUAAUUGAACCUGAAGAGCACCACUGAGUCAUGAGGAAAACUUAGAUUUUCAUAAAUGUUUCUUAUUUUGGUCACAGCACACUGAGAGAGGCAGAAAUUAGAUUUACCAAUUUAAUAAAGCAAAUCAUUAGUCAAAGCAAUACACACACACAAAAUGGAAAGAAUAAUUACUUGCAGACAGAAUGCUAGUGAUUGUGUGCUCACUUAUUUACACACAUUUUUACAAACCAUGAUGUGUGUAAGUGUGCAGACACCAAAAUGGUAUUAUAUGUUAAAUCAUAAGAGUAUUUAUUUUUUAAAUGUUAAUAUUAAUUAGUAAUAAUGUUUUAUAACAUGUAAUUUUUUUAAAUUAUAUACAUAUAUGUGUGUGUGUGUGUGUGUGUGUGUGUUCAUUUUCAUUGUGUAUACACACACACCCCUUGUAUUUAUUUGAUUAAAUACAGUAAAAACAGUACUGUUGUAAAAUAUUAUUGCAAUUAAAAAAAAAAAAAAAAAACUAUGUUCUAUUCGAAUAUAUUUUAAAAAGUAAUUUAUUCCUGUGGUGGCAAAGCUGAAUUUUCAACAGCCAUUACUUCAGUCUUCAGUGUCACAUGAUCCUUCAGAAAUCAUUCCAAUAUGUUGAUUUGGUGCUCAAGAAACCUUUAUUAUUAUUAUUAUUAUUAUUAUUAUUAUUAUUAUUAUUAUUAUUAUUAUUAUCAAUGCUGAAAACAGUUGUUCUCCUUAAUAUUUUCGUGAAUUUAUAAAAAAAAUUCAGGAUUUUUUGAAGAAAAGAAAGAAUAGAAAUUCUAAAAGUUUUUAAUGUUUUUGCUGUCUUUUCAAUCAACCUAAAUCAUAAAAGUAUUUUCAUUCACCAUGCUGAAUAAAAGUAUUUUCUUAAAAAAAUUACACAAAUCCUACAUAAUGUGACCAAUAUGGUCAUGAACUGAUGGUUGGCAUAGAAGGACUAUAACUGCAUAAUCUUGUCCCAUUUUUAUCUAAGUGUGACUG
Molecule: long non-coding RNA, 4674 nt
Organism: Cyprinus carpio carpio
Lineage: Eukaryota; Metazoa; Chordata; Actinopteri; Cypriniformes; Cyprinidae
Source: Ensembl